AUACGGAGGAUGCGAGCGUUAUCCGGAUUUAUUGGGUUUAAAGGGAGCGUAGGUGGGAUAUUAAGUCAGCUGUGAAAGUUUGGGGCUCAACCUUAAAAUUGCAGUUGAUACUGGUUUCCUUGAGUACGGUACAGGUGGGCGGAAUUCGUGGUGUAGCGGUGAAAUGCUUAGAUAUCACGAAGAACUCCGAUCGCGAAGGCAGCUCACCGGGCCAGAACUGACACUGAUGCUCGAAAGUGCGGGUAUCAAACAGGAUUAGAUACCCUGGUAGUCCGCACAGUAAACGAUGAAUACUCGCUGUUUGCGAUACACGGUAAGCGGCCAAGCGAAAGCGUUAAGUAUUCCACCUGGGGAGUACGCCGGCAACGGUGAAACUCAAAGGAAUUGGCGGGG
Molecule: ribosomal RNA, 393 nt
Filed under: uncultured bacterium
Lineage: Bacteria
Description: partial 16S ribosomal RNA
Rfam family: Bacterial small subunit ribosomal RNA
Source: RNAcentral